Molecule: ribosomal RNA, 582 nt
Filed under: uncultured bacterium
Lineage: Bacteria
Description: bacterial SSU rRNA
Rfam family: Bacterial small subunit ribosomal RNA
Source: RNAcentral
CCUACGGGAGGCAGCAGUGAGGAAUAUUGGACAAUGGGCGCAAGCCUGAUCCAGCCAUGCCGCGUGCAGGAUGACGGUCCUAUGGAUUGUAAACUGCUUUUAUACGAGAAGAAACACUCCGACGUGUCGGAGCUUGACGGUAUCGUAAGAAUAAGGAUCGGCUAACUCCGUGCCAGCAGCCGCGGUAAUACGGAGGAUCCAAGCGUUAUCCGGAAUCAUUGGGUUUAAAGGGUCCGUAGGCGGUUUAAUAAGUCAGUGGUGAAAGCCCAUCGCUCAACGGUGGAACGGCCAUUGAUACUGUUAAACUUGAAUUAUUAGGAAGUAACUAGAAUAUGUAGUGUAGCGGUGAAAUGCUUAGAGAUUGCAUGGAAUACCAAUUGCGAAGGCAGGUUACUACUAAUUGAUUGACGCUGAUGGACGAAAGCGUGGGUAGCGAACAGGAUUAGAUACCCUGGUAGUCCACGCCGUAAACGAUGGAUACUAGCUGUUGGGAGCAAUCUCAGUGGCUAAGCGAAAAGUGAUAAGUAUCCCACCUGGGGAAGUACGUUCGCAAGAAAUUGAAACUCAAAUUGAAUUGACGGG